GGAGUAAUAGUUCAGUGGUAGAGCAUAUGCUUAGCAUGCCUGAGGUCCUGGGUUCAAUCCCCAGUACUUCCA
This 72-nucleotide transfer RNA is filed under the name Camelus ferus (Wild Bactrian camel). It matches the Rfam family "tRNA". Rfam says of the family: Transfer RNA (tRNA) molecules are approximately 80 nucleotides in length. Lineage: Eukaryota; Metazoa; Chordata; Mammalia; Artiodactyla; Camelidae. The record is from Rfam by way of RNAcentral.